Long non-coding RNA from Dromaius novaehollandiae (emu), 1636 nucleotides. The record is from Ensembl. NCBI's taxonomy places the organism in Eukaryota, Metazoa, Chordata, Aves, Casuariiformes, Dromaiidae.
AUGGUGUCGAUACGGGCUGUUCCAGGAUGCACGGCCCUGCAGACCCAGCCUGGGGUCCUUGAAGUGCGGUUGCUGACUGACCUCACAGGAGGCAGCCCACGUGUCUGUCCUCUCUUCCACGCAGUGAGAAGCCUGAAGGGCAGCUUUAGGGACAUCACUAGAAGAUCCAUAGGGUCUAAAGCUGGACUUGUUGUUCCAUUGCUGCAGCCUGGAUGCUUCAAGGGCAUGAGGCCCCUCUGCAGAGAGGGAGGAGCACAGGAUGGGAAGAGGAGCAUUUUAGGGGGUCAAAAGUUUGGUGGGAAAUGUAGCAACCAUUAUUGUCUUAGGGAYGACCCAGCUGCUGCAGAGCUGUUGCCUGUGCUGGAUGGUAGCUCUCGCUGGCCAGUGUCAUUGUCUCUCCCACACGUGUUUCAGCUCUCCAGCGAUCCCAGCCAUCUCCCAUGUUCUUCAAGUGCUGAGGAGGCUCCUUGUCUGCUCUCCUGCCUGUUGUGUGGGUGGGCCUCCUGGCAGACUGGUUCAUCAUGGAAUUGCUCUCACUUGGACGCAUUUCCCAGGGUACACUGGAGGAGGAGUGCACUGUGCACUAAAGGACGUCUCUACAGCCAGCUACUCCGGUCUCCAUCUCCCAGACCAUGACAAGAGCUUUGAGUUCUCCUGGAUCUGGACAGGCGAAGCCCACUUGAAAGAUGKCUUUCUACUUAUGCUACCAGCUUCCAGACUGACCAUACAGGUUCAUGGGGGAGAUCCUGUUAUCUUGCAGCCAGCCUGCAUGCUGUAGAGGAGGUUGGAUGCUCUAAAUAUUUUUUAAAGACUACUACACCUGUAGAAGUGGAAAGUGUUGUUGUUUGCAAGGUAGCUUGAAAUCACUGUUAGCAUCAUUACAGACAAUGCAGAAGAAAGAACAUGUUUUGUGCUGUAUCUCCUAGGUAUCAYGUUCCCAGGACACUAACUCAGCGUUCUGACCAGGAUCUAGUUUUUGUGCAACCCCCUGCCUUAACAGAGGGGGAUCUUGGCUUGAGGAUCUACACUUCCUUUGGUGGCCUUGAGUCAAACGCAGAUCUACCCCUUUCCUUUGAAGCCUUUGCUCUUUAACCUAUUUAAGAAGAAGUUGUGAUUCUCUUUUCACUGUUUGCAUACAGCCUAAACUACUCCUAGGCUGGGAAGCGAUUGUGGAGUAAAAUGAUCUUUUCCACCUGACUGGCUGAUAAAUAGCUCUGCCCCAGAGCCUGCCAGCACUGCCUGGUUGCUAGGCCAUGACAAAGGAUGCUCUGGAUCCCAGACUUCAAGGGAAAGUUUUGCUGAUGAACUGAUAACCAAAAUGGCAGGCUGUUAUAAGCAAACAGAGGCAGUAACAGGAGUCUUCUCACGUGCCUGCUACACGCUGUGCUGGGCUUCCUUUCACUCCUCUACUGUGAGACCUCCUGCCUGGUCUGAUUGCAAAGCUGUCUGAAAACACUGACUGUUGGUCUGUCUUCUGGGUCUAUCACCUUGCUCCAUUAAUCGCCUCUKUUUCUAGGGAUGGCUAAAGCUCCCACUUGCUGAGUGAACUCAAGCUUAGGAAAUUCAACCAUGUUUUUACUCUCAGAGACCUGUCUCCCCACCAUGAUUUCAUUUUCUGGAUGGGACCAUUGAAUAU